Molecule: unclassified non-coding RNA, 618 nt
Filed under: Hevea brasiliensis (rubber tree)
Lineage: Eukaryota; Viridiplantae; Streptophyta; Magnoliopsida; Malpighiales; Euphorbiaceae
Source: RNAcentral
GUACAUAUUAUCUAUUUCAAAUGCGUCUUUUAUUUCGUGAAUUCAUUCUAUGUGUUGCGUGCUGUGGUAGUCUAUGUAUUCUUAGUUCUUACUUUUUGAGUAUCCUUUAUUGUGUUGAGGAUUGCUGCAAAGAUUUUGCCCAGCGGUUUGGCAUGGACCUAAAUGUAUUCCCAUCUCUUUGUGUAUCCCUUUGAGUUGGGUGAAUUUGGGUAUUAUGGUAUUUGCUUGAUUGUUGUUAUUUGUCGCGAAAUGAGAAUAGUUAUUGGAGUAGGUGACUUUUAUCGGAGUAUUCCACAUUAGGGAAAUGUAAGUAGAAAAAAAAAUUUUUGGGUCAAUGAAAAUUGGGGUGAAUGCAAAUUCAACAUGGCAGAAAAGAAUAUGGUGCCAGAAGUCUCUGAUUCGAGAUGAGUCUGGCUUGGUUUGCUUUUGAGCUGGCCGAGUAGCUUUUGAAUAUUUGAUGUGGGUUUGUGGUUGUGGAUAGGGAUCUUAGAUUUUUGUUUUGCUUUAGAAGUUCUCCAAGGUGCUUUAAUUUUGUAUGCGUCAGACAAUCUUCCAUGCAUAGCUUUUUUGACAUGAUAUCAGUAUUUCAGCAUGCAAGACAUCCUUAUUCCAUUACUG